RNAcentral lists this ribosomal RNA (239 nucleotides) under uncultured bacterium. Its description in RNAcentral is "partial 16S ribosomal RNA". It matches the Rfam family "Bacterial small subunit ribosomal RNA", at positions 116 to 354 of the family's 1533-position model. The record is from RNAcentral.
CGUGAGGAACCUGCCUUCCAGAGGGGGGACAACAGUUGGAAACGACUGCUAAUACCGCAUGACGCAUUGGUGUCGCAUGGCACUGAUGUCAAAGAUUUAUCGCUGGAAGAUGGCCUCGCGUCUGAUUAGCUAGUUGGUGAGGUAACGGCCCACCAAGGCGACGAUCAGUAGCCGGACUGAGAGGUUGGCCGGCCACAUUGGGACUGAGAUACGGCCCAGACUCCUACGGGAGGCAGCAG